Vanessa tameamea is the source of this 3809-nucleotide RNA transcript. It is a transcript of the gene named protein DEK, with no coding region annotated. The transcript has 17 exons. Lineage: Eukaryota; Metazoa; Arthropoda; Insecta; Lepidoptera; Nymphalidae. The record is from RefSeq and is a predicted model, not a curated record.
UCUAUGUUGUGGGUGCGUGCAUUUGUGUUGUCCGGUGUUUGAAGACGCUUGGAAUUCGCUUUCAAUUUCUUCAUAGGAAAAAUGUCGGGUGAUACCGAUAAAGCAAAAAUCAGUGACAAUCAGGAUGAAGACAAGAAAUCUGGUGCAGGCGAUGGCCAGACAACAGAAGAUGAGUCCUCACAGGAUUCUAAGGGUGAGUCGCUGACAAUCGCUGACUGCCAAGAGCCGGAGGUCCAAGGUAACACCGAUGUAGAUCACGAGGACAAGCAGCAAGGUGACGCAAAGUCAACGACAGCAAAUGGCAAAGAAGACGACGGGCCCGCUGAUGACUCUAAGGAUGAAAAGGAUGAAAAAACCGACGGAGACUUUAAAAAGGAAGAAAAUGGUGAAACUCAUGAGGAGAAUGAGAAAGAAGAUUUAAAAGAAAACGAUAAAGCAGCUAAGAAAGUAGUUCCGAAAAAGAAACCCAAGAAAGAGGAUACUGAGGAAGAAGAAGAGGACGAAGAAGAGGAAGAAGAGGAGGAGGAUGAGGAGGGGGAGGAGGUUGACGAAGAAGAAGAGAAAAAACCUAAAGACAAAGUAAAGAAACCAGUAAAGAAGGUUAAAGAAGGCGACGAUGAAGGCGAUGACGAGGAGGAGGGAGAAGAGGAGGGCGAAGAGGAGGAGGAAGAGGAAGAAGAAGAGGAGGAGGCACCUAAGCCCAAACCUAAGAGAGAGCCAACAGAACCUCCCGUUCCUCUGCCAGCCGGUAAGGGCAUACCUCUUGGACACAUCAGCAAUGUCGAAGUUUCACUGUCUCGGUUCAAAACUCAAGAUCAGAAAAUACUUCACCAGUAUCUCUAUGGGCAACUCUGUUUGGACCGCAACGUGAAACGCAACAUAAAGAAGUUCAAAGGUUACGAGUGGGCCAUCGGCUCCACGGAAUACAAGGCUAAGCUCGAGGAGACGGCUAAGAUGGAGCUCAAGCAACUCAGGACAAUGUGUGAAAUGCUCGACUUAGACAAAAAAGGCGGCGCGAGCGAGCUGGCAGCGCGCCUGGUGGGCUUCCUGCAGCAGCCCACCGCCAACUCGCCGCACGCGCGGGGCGUGGCGCGCGCGCCCGUGGCGGCGCAGCCCACCUCCGCGCCCGGCGGCCGCCCGCGCCGCUCCGCCGCCGUCAAGAUACACAAUAGAGGUUACUCGGACGAGGAGUACGAAACCGAUCCAGAGACGAAGGUCAAGGGGCCGAAGCCGGCGAAGGAUGGCUCGGAGGAUUCCGAUCAGGGCUCCUUCAACCCGAGCGGCUCGGAGGCGGACUCCGACUUUGACCCGGAAGCCGGCGAGGGCGCCAGCGGGCCGGGCCGCAAGCGUAAGAGCUCCGGACGACGUCGCUCCGCCGGCAAGCCCGGCAAGCGGGGAAGGAAGGGCAAAGGCAGGAAGGUAAAGGGAGCAAGCAGAGGUCGCGGUCGGAAGGCAAAGUCGGAGAGUGACGAUGAAAGCGACAAGUCUGAGAGUGAAAGCGAGGGAGAGUCCGGCAGUGACGCGGAAGAAUCCGAUCAGGAGCCGAAGUCGAAGCGCGGGCGACCGGCGGGCGCGGUGGGCAAGGGCCGCAAGGGCGCCGUGGCCAAAGCCAGCGCCAAGGCCACGCCCGCCAAGCGGAAAGCUCCCACGCCGCCAGGUAAAAAGAAGGGUGGUGCCAAGCCAGUGGGUCGACCGGCCAAGAAGGGUAAGAAGGCGUCGUCUGAAGAAUCCGGAGAGGGCAGUGAGGAAGAAGAGGAGGAGGAGGGUAGUGAGGAGGAGGAGAGCGGAGAGGAGUCUGAUACGCCAGCGGACAAGAAGGCUAAACGGCCGCCUACUGACGAGGAGAUUAAGAAGUACGUGAAGCAGAUCCUCGAGGGAGCAAACCUCGAGCAGAUCACGAUGAAGACGGUGUGCAAGCAGGUGUACAGCCACUACCCGGACUUCGAUCUCGCGCACAAGAAGGACUUUAUCAAGGCAACAGUCAAAUCGUGUAUUUAAGAUGUUUAGGAGUUAAGGGCGGAGUGUAGAUGUCUACGUAGCAUACCUAUAGUUUAUAAACGGACAUAGUUAUAUAUUAUUACAAUAAUAAUAUAUUAUGAAAAAAAAUUAUUAUCUGAAAUGAAGUGGAAUGGAUAAACUCCCGCUUUUCUUUUCAAGCUCAUAUCAUCGUGAGCGGUGACCUCGGCCGCAAAUAUUUAGCAAAGUAAGCUACACCACGUUAAGUUAGACUAAUUGUGACCCGCGUCCCGCUGAGUCCCGCUGAGUCCCGCUGAGCUCGCGGCGCGGUCCGUCUCAUAUUUGUGUUGUAAUUUAUUUUGAUAAAACUUGUAGUGAAUGUAAACAAUUAAUAUUAAAAUUAUUAUAACUAACCACACGUAGAUGCUUAUUGCAGUUACGACUGAAGGAGAUUUCACGUAUGAAUGUCGCCAAGACUUAAAAAUAUUGCAUUCUGAGAAGUUUGUUUACAUUUUCAAACAAGUUAUAUUAAAAUAUAAACAUAGACUAAGGAUAAUCCGCGAGAAGCCAACUCGUUUCUUUUUUAUUUAAUCCACUGUUGUUUUGUGAACUAUUUUUGUAUACUUUGUUAAUGAAGCUCGACUUAUAAUAUAUGGUUUGUACUUUAUAUAGUAUUGUUUAACGGAUGAGUACCGCGUCGGGACCACUGUUUCGUUUCUAGAGCUAUUUAACUGUAAUUUUCAUAUUUUUAAGCAUCGAAUAUUGUACAAAUUCAGCAAAUUCGAUUCGGCUUCAACAGACAUACGACUACGUAAUUAUUCGCCUAGUAUCGUAUCAUCAUAAUGUAAUUGUAUGUCUGUGUAUAUUAAAAAGAAAAUGUUGUUAAUUGGUUUUAAUGGUGUGGAUUGUAAGAUUAUUUUUCUAAUGUAGGCUGUAAACUAUAUUAUUUGCAGUCGAAGCACUAUCGCAAAACUUAUGUAAGGUUUGGUUAAGUGUACUUUUAAGAUGUGUAAAUACACAGGACUGCACCGUUUGGGAACCGCGCUUCGCUAACAUCGGAUUAGGGUUAUGAUAAAGUAAAAAUUAUUCUUAUACAAAACUUUUUGGUCUAGCCCCGGGUUGAAGCGGAACUUUAGAUUUUUUUUAUACGUUCUGAGCACUUUUUUUUUUUAAUUUUUUUGAUAUAAAAUGUUCCCUAAAUUAUAUAACGCAGCUAUAAUUGUAUAAUGAAAUAAUUUAAUUAACGAUUUGUGCAAUAAUGUUAAUCAACUUCUAUUAAAUAUAUAAAAAAUGUACACAGCGCAUCCGAGCUUAUCAAAGUAUAAUUUUAUACUUUUCGAUUUGUAAAAUUUUCAUAUUAUUUUGUUUAAUUUAAGGUGCUUAAAUAGCAUUUGAUAUAUUUUCUCUAUGUGUAACUUGUGGCCGAACUGUCGCUAAGUCCGUGGGUGAGCUAACAUUCUAGGUUUAAAUGGUCUGAACGCAUCUAGACUUCAAUGCAACGCCUUCCCGUACGGAGACUGCGUAAGUCUGUUCGUAGUCUCUACAGCAACGCGUUGCUCGUUUACGUCGUAUAUCACUGCUAUUAGUUUAUUCUAAUAGAAUUAUUAUUGAUUGGUUAUGUUUUGUUCGCUCCACAUAAAACUCUCGGUGCGUUCAAACCGAUUAAUUAUAAGAUAGUUUUAAUCAACAUUAAAUGUGUAUUUGUGAAUUUUAACCUUAUUUUUGGUUGUUUCUUUAUAUUGUGUAAAUGGCUGAGAUCAGUAGAGACGUAGUGACACGGAGUGAUAGAGUGACUGGUUCCCCCUUUUACAAUUGGAAUAUAGAUAAUAAAGCAAAUAAAAGUUUGAAAUGUC